RNAcentral lists this ribosomal RNA (255 nucleotides) under Clostridioides sp. ZZV14-6045. Its description in RNAcentral is "partial 23S ribosomal RNA". It matches the Rfam family "Bacterial large subunit ribosomal RNA", at positions 231 to 486 of the family's 2925-position model. The record is from RNAcentral. Lineage: Bacteria; Bacillati; Bacillota; Clostridia; Peptostreptococcales; Peptostreptococcaceae.
UCGAUUCCGUAAGUAGCGGCGAGCGAACGCGGAAUAGCCCAAACCAAUAAAGUUUUCUUUAUUGGGGUUGCGGACAUAUCUUAAACGAAGAGGUAUCGUAAUUGAAGAGGUUUGGAAAGACCCACCACAGAAGGUAAUAGUCCUGUAUGUCAAACGAGAAAACUUCAGAUAUGAUCCAGAGUACCACGGGACACGUGAAACCCUGUGGGAAGCAGGAGGGACCACCCUCCAAGGCUAAAUACUACCUAGUGACCG